This 323-nucleotide ribosomal RNA is filed under the name uncultured eukaryote. Its description in RNAcentral is "partial 18S ribosomal RNA". It matches the Rfam family "Eukaryotic small subunit ribosomal RNA", at positions 1470 to 1796 of the family's 1831-position model. The record is from RNAcentral.
CCCCUAGAUGUUCUGGGCCGCACGCGCGCUACACUGAACAGUUCAACAAGUCUUAACCUUGGCCGAUAGGUCUGGGUAAUCUUUGAACGCUGUUCGUGAUUGGGAUAGACCUUUGCAAUUAUGGGUCUUCAACGAGGAAUUCCUAGUAAACGCAAGUCAUCAGCUUGCAUUGAUUACGUCCCUGCCCUUUGUACACACCGCCCGUCGCACCUACCGAUUGAAUGGUCCGGUGAAAUCUCCGGACUGGCGUGAGUCGGAGCAAUCUGACAAACACCGGAAAGUUGAUUAAACCUUACCAUUUAGAGGAAGGUGGAGUCGUAACA